This 433-nucleotide ribosomal RNA is filed under the name uncultured bacterium. Its description in RNAcentral is "partial 16S ribosomal RNA". It matches the Rfam family "Bacterial small subunit ribosomal RNA", at positions 29 to 507 of the family's 1533-position model. The record is from RNAcentral.
AACGAACGCUGGCGGCAUGCCUAACACAUGCGAGUCGAACGAGACCUUCGGGUCUAGUGGCGCACGGGUGCGUAACGCGUGGGAACCUGCCCUUAGGUUCGGAAUAACUCCCCGAAAGGGGUGCUAAUACCGGAUAAUGUCUUCGGACCAAAGAUUUAUCGCCUUUGGAUGGGCCCGCGUUGGAUUAGCUAGUUGGUAGGGUAAAAGCCUACCAAGGCGACGAUCCAUAGCUGGUCUGAGAGGAUGAUCAGCCACACUGGGACUGAGACACGGCCCAGACUCCUACGGGAGGCAGCAGUUGGGAAUAUUGGACAAUGGGCGAAAGCCUGAUCCAGCAAUGCCGCGUGAGUGAUGAAGGCCUUAGGGUUGUAAAGCUCUUUUACCCGGGAUGAUAAUGACAGUACCGGGAGAAUAAGCUCCGGCUAACUCCGUG